Molecule: ribosomal RNA, 690 nt
Filed under: Pseudomonas sp.
Lineage: Bacteria; Pseudomonadati; Pseudomonadota; Gammaproteobacteria; Pseudomonadales; Pseudomonadaceae
Description: bacterial SSU rRNA
Rfam family: Bacterial small subunit ribosomal RNA
Source: RNAcentral
AGUCGAGCGGAUGACAGGAGCUUGCUCCUGAAUUCAGCGGCGGACGGGUGAGUAAUGCCUAGGAAUCUGCCUGGUAGUGGGGGACAACGUUUCGAAAGGAACGCUAAUACCGCAUACGUCCUACGGGAGAAAGCAGGGGACCUUCGGGCCUUGCGCUAUCAGAUGAGCCUAGGUCGGAUUAGCUAGUUGGUGAGGUAAUGGCUCACCAAGGCGACGAUCCGUAACUGGUCUGAGAGGAUGAUCAGUCACACUGGAACUGAGACACGGUCCAGACUCCUACGGGAGGCAGCAGUGGGGAAUAUUGGACAAUGGGCGAAAGCCUGAUCCAGCCAUGCCGCGUGUGUGAAGAAGGUCUUCGGAUUGUAAAGCACUUUAAGUUGGGAGGAAGGGCAGUAACUUAAUACGUUGCCGUCUUGACGUUACCGACAGAAUAAGCACCGGCUAACUCUGUGCCAGCAGCCGCGGUAAUACAGAGGGUGCAAGCGUUAAUCGGAAUUACUGGGCGUAAAGCGCGCGUAGGUGGUUUGUUAAGUUGGAUGUGAAAGCCCCGGGCUCAACCUGGGAACUGCAUUCAAAACUGACAAGCUAGAGUAUGGUAGAGGGUGGUGGAAUUUCCUGUGUAGCGGUGAAAUGCGUAGAUAUAGGAAGGAACACCAGUGGCGAAGGCGACCACCUGGACUGAUACUGACA